AACACAUGCAAGUCGAGGGGCAGCACAUGAGUAGCAAUACGAUGGUGGCGACCGGCGCACGGGUGAGUAACACGUAUGCAACCUACCUCUAACAGGGGGAUAACCCGUUGAAAGACGGACUAAUACCCCAUAAUACAGGGGCUCCGCAUGGAGAUAUUUGUUAAAGAUUUUAUCGGUUAGAGAUGGGCAUGCGUUCCAUUAGCUAGUUGGUGAGGUAACGGCUCACCAAGGCGACGAUGGAUAGGGGAACUGAGAGGUUUAUCCCCCACACUGGAACUGAGACACGGUCCAGACUCCUACGGGAGGCAGCAGUGAGGAAUAUUGGUCAAUGGAGGCAACUCUGAACCAGCCAAGUCGCGUGAAGGAUGAAGGUCUUAUGGAUUGUAAACUUCUUUUGCAGGGGAAUAAAUAGCGGUACGUGUACCGUUUUGCAUGUACCCUGCGAAUAAGGAUCGGCUAACUCCGUGCCAGCAGCCGCGGUAAUACGGAGGAUCCGAGCGUUAUCCGGAUUUAUUGGGUUUAAAGGGUGCGCAGGCGGGAGAUUAAGUCGGCGGCGAAAUUUUGCAGCUCAACUGUAAAAGUGCCUUCGAUACUGGUUUCCUUGAGUGUGGAUGAAGUAGGCGGAAUUUGUGGUGUAGCGGUGAAAUGCUUAGAUAUCACGAGGAACUCCGAUUGCGCAGGCAGCUUACUAAACCACUACUGACGCUCAGGCACGAAGGCGUGGGGAUCAAACAGGAUUAGAUACCCUGGUAGUCCACGCAGUA
This 764-nucleotide ribosomal RNA is filed under the name uncultured bacterium. RNAcentral's name for it is "bacterial SSU rRNA". It matches the Rfam family "Bacterial small subunit ribosomal RNA", at positions 50 to 804 of the family's 1533-position model. The record is from RNAcentral.